ACACGACUACAUUAGAUACCCGGGUAGUCCAGGGUGUAAACGCUGCAGACUUGGUGUUGGAAAUCCUUCGAGGGUAUUCAGUGCCGGAGAGAAGUUGUUAAGUCUGCUACUUGGGAGUACGUCCGCAAGGAUGAAACUUAAAGGAAUUGGCGGGGGAGCGACCGCAACGGAGGAGCGUGCGGUUUAAUUGGAUUCAACACCGGAAAACUCACCAGGGAGACUGUUACAUGAAACCCAGACUAAUGAUCUUGGCUGAUUUUCAG
Molecule: ribosomal RNA, 263 nt
Filed under: uncultured archaeon
Lineage: Archaea
Description: partial 16S ribosomal RNA
Rfam family: Archaeal small subunit ribosomal RNA
Source: RNAcentral